AAACUAACAAGGAUUCCCCUAGUAACGGCGAGUGAACCGGGAAGAGCUCAAAUUUGAAAUCUGGCGUCCUCAGGGCGUCCGAGUUGUAAUCUAUAGAGGCGUUUUCCGUGCCGGACCGUGUCCAAGUUCCUUGGAACAGGAUAUCAAAGAGGGUGACAAUCCCGUACUUGACACGACGACCGGUGCUCUGUGAUACGUCUUCUACGAGUCGAGUUGUUUGGGAAUGCAGCUCAAAAUGGGUGGUGAGUUCCAUCUAAAGCUAAAUAUUGGCGAGAGACCGAUAGCGAACAAGUACCGUGAGGGAAAGAUGAAAAGCACUUUGGAAAGAGAGUUAAACAGUACGUGAAAUUGUUGAAAGGGAAACGAUUGAAGUCAGUCGUGACCGAGAGGCUCAGCCGGUUCUGCCGGUGUAUUCCCCUCGGUCGGGUCAACAUCAGUUUUGUCCGGUGGAUAAGGACGGUAGGAAGGUGGCACCCUCGGGUGUGUUAUAGCCUGCCGUCGCAUACAUCGGGUGAGACUGAGGAACGCAGCUCGCCUUUAUGGCCGGGGUUCGCCCACGUCCGAGCUUAGGAUGUUGACAUAAUGGCUUUAAACGAC
Molecule: ribosomal RNA, 597 nt
Filed under: Papiliotrema laurentii
Lineage: Eukaryota; Fungi; Basidiomycota; Tremellomycetes; Tremellales; Rhynchogastremaceae
Description: partial large subunit ribosomal RNA
Rfam family: Eukaryotic large subunit ribosomal RNA
Source: RNAcentral